This 883-nucleotide ribosomal RNA is filed under the name Amanita citrinoannulata. RNAcentral describes it as "eukaryotic LSU rRNA". It matches the Rfam family "Eukaryotic large subunit ribosomal RNA", at positions 65 to 935 of the family's 3401-position model. Lineage: Eukaryota; Fungi; Basidiomycota; Agaricomycetes; Agaricales; Amanitaceae. The record is from RNAcentral.
CUACCAAGGAUUCCCUUAGUAACUGCGAGUGAAGAGGGAAAAGCUCAAAUUUAAAAUCUGGCAGUGUUUCACUGUCCGAGUUGUAACCUAGAGAAGUGUAACCUGCGCUGGACCGUGUAUAAGUCUCCUGGAAUGGAGCAUCACAGAGGGUGAGAAUCCCGUCUUUGACAUGGACUACCAGUGCAUUGUGGUUGCGCUCUCAACGAGUCGAGUUGUUUGGGAAUGCAGCUCUAAAUGGGUGGUAAAUUCCAUCUAAAGCUAAAUAUUGGCGAGAGACCGAUAGCGAACAAGUACCGUGAGGGAAAGAUGAAAAGAACUUUGGAAAGAGAGUUAAACAGUAUGUGAAAUUGUUGAAAGGGAAACGUUUGAAGUCAGUCGCGUUGGUUGGGGAUCAGCCUGACAUUGUUGGGUGUACUUCCUGGUCGACGGGCCAACAUCAGUUUUGACUGCCAGAAAAAGAUCAAAGGAAUGUGGCACCUUUGGGUGUGUUAUAGCCCUUGGUCGUAUAUGGUGGUUGGGACUGAGGAAAGCAGCGUGCCAAAAGGCCGGGUUUCGACCACGUUCACGCUGAGGAUGUUGGCAUAAUGGCUUUAAGCGACCCGUCUUGAAACACGGACCAAGGAGUCUAACAUGCAUGCGAGUGUUUGGGUGGAAAACCCUUACGCGUAAUGAAAGUGAAAGUUGAGAUCCCUGUCGCGGGGAGCAUCGACGCCCGGACCAGAACUUUUGGGACGGAUCCGCGGUAGAGCACGUAUGUUGGGACCCGAAAGAUGGUGAACUAUGCCUGAAUAGGGUGAAGCCAGAGGAAACUCUGGUGGAGGCUCGUAGCGAUUCUGACGUGCAAAUCGAUCGUCAAAUUUGGGUAUAGGGGCGAAAGACUAAU